GGUGGGAGCGAGCUUGCUCGCGAUGGCGGAGUGUCAGCCGGUAUCAAUGCUGGACGUGCCGGCCUCAUCGCGAGCAAGCUCGCUCCCACA
Molecule: unclassified non-coding RNA, 90 nt
Filed under: Pseudomonas jessenii
Lineage: Bacteria; Pseudomonadati; Pseudomonadota; Gammaproteobacteria; Pseudomonadales; Pseudomonadaceae
Source: RNAcentral